Molecule: ribosomal RNA, 253 nt
Filed under: uncultured bacterium
Lineage: Bacteria
Description: partial 16S ribosomal RNA
Rfam family: Bacterial small subunit ribosomal RNA
Source: RNAcentral
UACGGGGGGGGCAAGCGUUGUUCGGAAUUACUGGGCGUAAAGGGCUCGUAGGCGGCCAACUAAGUCAGACGUGAAAUCCCCAGGCUCAACCUGGGAACUGCGUCUGAUACUGGAUGGCUUGAAUUCGGGAGAGGGAUGCAGAAUUCCAGGUGUAGCGGUGAAAUGCGUAGAUAUCUGGAGGAAUACCGGUGGCGAAGGCGGGUCUCUGGGCAGUAACUGACGCUGAGGAGCGAAAGCGUGGGGAGCGAACAGG